Molecule: ribosomal RNA, 68 nt
Filed under: Halodesulfovibrio marinisediminis DSM 17456
Lineage: Bacteria; Pseudomonadati; Thermodesulfobacteriota; Desulfovibrionia; Desulfovibrionales; Desulfovibrionaceae
Description: partial 16S rRNA. Bacterial SSU
Source: RNAcentral
CUGGCUCAGAUUGAACGCUGGCGGCGUGCCUAACACAUGCAAGUCGAACGCGAAAGUUUCUUCGGAAA